GUAUCGAGUAACUUUGACAAGUAACAUUCACAAAAAGCCCUAUAGGCGAGGCACCGAGUUACUUUGACAAGUAACACUCACAAAAAGCCUUCUAGGCGAGACACCAAAUUACUUAGAUAUGUAAAAUUAACGUAAAGCUCUCUAGAUGAGGCAUUGGGUUACUUAUAUAAGUAACACUCAUGAAAAGCCCUUCAAGCAACGCACCGAGUUACUUA
Molecule: long non-coding RNA, 215 nt
Filed under: Vigna radiata
Lineage: Eukaryota; Viridiplantae; Streptophyta; Magnoliopsida; Fabales; Fabaceae
Description: long non-coding RNA (VRAD_LNC006021)
Source: RNAcentral